CGGUAACUGCCCAAGAGAUCGGGAUAACACCUGGAAACAGAUGCUAAUACCGGAUAACAACAGAUGAUGCCUAUCAACUGUUUAAAAGAUGGUUCUGCUAUCACUCUUGGAUGGACCUGCGGUGCAUUAGCUAGUUGGUAGGGUAACGGCCUACCAAGGCGAUGAUGCAUAGCCGAGUUGAGAGACUGAUCGGCCACAUUGGGACUGAAACACGGCCCAAACUCCUACGGGAGGCAGCAGCA
Molecule: ribosomal RNA, 242 nt
Filed under: uncultured Lactobacillus sp.
Lineage: Bacteria; Bacillati; Bacillota; Bacilli; Lactobacillales; Lactobacillaceae
Description: partial 16S ribosomal RNA
Rfam family: Bacterial small subunit ribosomal RNA
Source: RNAcentral